CGAGUCUGCCUUGAAGAUCGGAGUGCUUGCACUCUGUGAAACAAGAUACAGGCUAGCGGCGGACGGGUGAGUAACACGUGGGUAACCUGCCCAAGAGAUCGGGAUAACACCUGGAAACAGAUGCUAAUACCGGAUAACAACAGAUGAUGCCUAUCAACUGUUUAAAAGAUGGUUCUGCUAUCACUCUUGGAUGGACCCGCGGUGCAUUAGCUAGUUGGUAGGGUAACGGCCUACCAAGGCGAUGAUGCAUAGCCGAGUUGAGAGACUGAUCGGCCACAUUGGGACUGAGACACGGCCCAAACUCCUACGGGAGGCAGCAGUAGGGAAUCUUCCACAACGGACGCAAGUCUGAUGGAGCAACGCCGCGUGAGUGAAGAAGGGUUUCGGCUCGUAAAGCUCUGUUGUUGGUGAA
This 412-nucleotide ribosomal RNA is filed under the name uncultured Lactobacillus sp. RNAcentral describes it as "bacterial SSU rRNA". It matches the Rfam family "Bacterial small subunit ribosomal RNA", at positions 58 to 446 of the family's 1533-position model. The record is from RNAcentral. Lineage: Bacteria; Bacillati; Bacillota; Bacilli; Lactobacillales; Lactobacillaceae.